GGAAAAAUUAAUGCACCAAUUAUAUACUCAGCAAAACAGACAAAGGACACUUAGAUAUUUGGUUACCAUUUAUUCAAUACUCAAAGUACAUUCUCCUGCAAAAUACCAGUGCACCUGUCCAAUUUUUUUGAAUAUUACUAUUUGAUAGACAGGCCUGGCUUGUUCAAUAUGUGCAAUCAGAGAUUUCACUGUCUGUGAUAAAAUCAUAGAACCCGCGUUUUGUGGGUAUUGGAAAGAGACUUGCUCUGUCAGUGGUAGCACCCUGUGAAAUGGAGAGAGCUGAUUUAUUGUAUGACUAGGUUGUUCUAAAGAAGAGCUCACUGUUGUAAUGACUGUUUUGUCUCCAACGUUUACAUGGCAGAGAUUUGUAAACCUGUUAAACCUUCCUAAAUAAAUAGUUAGAGAAGAUUGUGAGUGGCCGAGGAGGGAACAUCUGUCCCUACAGUGGCGCUGCUAUCAAAGGGCCUGGGAGAAGCUCUGUUCAGCACCUUGGAGUCUACAGGCAGAAGGAGACUCACAGCACUUGGAGCCCUGUCCCUGGAAGCACAGCACUGUUCCUCGCAUGCA
Non-coding RNA from Chrysemys picta bellii (western painted turtle), 567 nucleotides. NCBI's taxonomy places the organism in Eukaryota, Metazoa, Chordata, Testudines, Emydidae. The record is from RefSeq and is a predicted model, not a curated record.